This is a long non-coding RNA of Notolabrus celidotus (New Zealand spotty), 296 nucleotides long. RefSeq lists it as uncharacterized. Lineage: Eukaryota; Metazoa; Chordata; Actinopteri; Labriformes; Labridae. The transcript has 2 exons. The record is from RefSeq and is a predicted model, not a curated record.
CAGCUCCACCUGCACCAUCACACCUGCACCAGAUUACUGCAAUCACCACCUGCAUUUAAACCCUGCUGUGAGGCUUCUCCAGUGCCAGAUUAUUCCUGCAUCUGAUGUGUGCCUCCACAAGUCCCAGUGCCACCACCCUAUCUCUGCCACGCUGCCACACUCUCUCCCUUGAUUCACUCACCAGCCUCCUCCUCAAGCCCUCACGUCUCCAGCCUUCACCUCCCUCCUCAUGCCUUGGACCCUGGAUCCCUUCCCUCCACCUUUUUUCCCUUCAGUAAAUUCACUUCACUGCUUCA